CGGAUGAACGCUAGCGGCAGGCUUAACACAUGCAAGUCGAGGGGUUAUAGGUUUUCGGACCUAGAGACCGGCGCACGGGUGCGUAACGCGUAUGCAAUCUACCUUUGCAGAGGGAUAGCCCAGAGAAAUUUGGAUUAAUACCUCAUAGUAUAGUUAUACCGCAUGGUACUACUAUUAAAGUUCCAACGGCAAAAGAUGAGCAUGCGUCCCAUUAGCUAGAUGGUAAGGUAACGGCUUACCAUGGCUACGAUGGUAGGGGUCCUGAGAGGGAGAUCCCCCACACUGGUACUGAGACACGGACCAGACUCCUACGGGAGGCAGCAGUGAGGAAUAUUGGACAAUGGGCGCAAGCCUGAUCCAGCCAUGCCGCGUGCAGGAUGACGGUCCUAUGGAUUGUAAACUGCUUUUACACAGGAAGAAACAACGCUACGUGUAGCGUCUUGACGGUACUGUGAGAAUAAGGAUCGGCUAACUCCGUG
Molecule: ribosomal RNA, 479 nt
Filed under: uncultured bacterium
Lineage: Bacteria
Description: bacterial SSU rRNA
Rfam family: Bacterial small subunit ribosomal RNA
Source: RNAcentral